RNAcentral lists this ribosomal RNA (253 nucleotides) under uncultured bacterium. RNAcentral's name for it is "partial 16S ribosomal RNA". It matches the Rfam family "Bacterial small subunit ribosomal RNA", at positions 524 to 776 of the family's 1533-position model. The record is from RNAcentral.
UACGGAGGGGGCUAGCGUUGCUCGGAAUUACUGGGCGUAAAGGGUGUGUAGGCGGAUACUUAAGUUAGAGGUGAAAGCCCAGGGCUCAACCCUGGAACAGCCUUUAAUACUGGGUAUCUUGAGUUCGGGAGAGGUAAGUGGAACUCCGAGUGUAGAGGUGAAAUUCGUAGAUAUUCGCAAGAACACCAGUGGCGAAGGCGGCUCACUGGCCCGAUACUGACGCUGAGGCACGAAAGCGUGGGGAGCAAACAGG